UGUCAAGGGAUGGGAAUCGAACCCACGACCUUCCGCUUACCGGGCAGAUGCCAUGACCUUUAGGCUACCCUGGAC
RNAcentral lists this transfer RNA (75 nucleotides) under Cordylochernes scorpioides. Its description in RNAcentral is "tRNA-Thr". The record is from RNAcentral. Lineage: Eukaryota; Metazoa; Arthropoda; Arachnida; Pseudoscorpiones; Chernetidae.